Molecule: long non-coding RNA, 2552 nt
Filed under: Lathyrus oleraceus (garden pea)
Lineage: Eukaryota; Viridiplantae; Streptophyta; Magnoliopsida; Fabales; Fabaceae
Description: Pisum sativum (pea) long non-coding RNA (PSAT_LNC021003)
Source: RNAcentral
UAAAACUCUUGGCCAAUGGAUUAAAAUGAUCAAGGGUCACAAUUGCUCCAAUUACAUUUCACUUGGAUUACUAUCCAUAACUAUCUCUCUUAUCCAACCAAAACUCAGAAAAAAAAUUAAAUAAAAAGAGAAUAAAGGAAAGGGAUUUGAUUGGCACAAAGGGGGAAGAAACGCAUGACAACUAACAUUUUAGCCCAAUCCUCUUACCUCUCUCUCUUAAACACAUGUAAAAGAAAAGAGAGUAAAAAAAGGUUUAUUUUUUUGGAUUGCACAAGCCAAACAUUGCCUGAAGAUUGCAUUCUACCUCACCUAUUAACCAACACAUACUUCACUUUUCAAAAGUGACCACUGAAUAAAAUCCUCUUUCCACUCUCAUAACAAUUUUUUCCUCAAACCUACAAAAUUACUCCUUCACUUUUCUUGAUCCAUAACCCCCUCGUCUAAACUCACCCAUACACCUUUUGACAUCACCAUAAUUGCUUACCAACCAACACUAGCGAUAUCACUUCAAACAUCCAAAACCCAUACUACCACCAUCACCCACCGUAAAUCGACUUCAUCACCACAACAACCACCGCAACACCCUUCUAACGUCGACAACACUCCAUCGACCUCCACCCUUACUACAUCCUCACACUGCCAACCAUGACAUACAUCCCACCAUGAAAACCACCAUUCAUCUUCUUCACAAACCGUGUGAUACCCUACCUUAACCACACCAUCAAACAUAGACAAAAAAUCACCGUGAAAUCCGACCUUCAAGCAACCCAAACCCAUCGCCGUAACAACAUCAACAUUUGAACCAACCCCACCGUGAAACACCUCCGACAACACCGACCACCACUGAUUGGUCUAAUUUUUGACAUCGGAGAAGCUGAUUUCAUACUUCAAACGAUUUCCUUGGUUUUGGUUGUCAACUUAUUUCAGUUAUAUGUGUUCGGUGACUUUGUUUGUCGAUUCCGCAAGUGUUUUCAGGUUUAUUUCCAUCUUUGAGUCAACAAAUAUUUGAUUUCACAUCAACUCCUUUUGUUGUUGUUGUGAUUUUGUUUUGUAGGUGUAUUGGUCCAAACGAUUUUGCUACUGCCAUGUGAUUAAGCUGAAACGUUGAAAAUGUUGUUUUAGUUUAUUAAGUUAUUGCGUUAUUAUCAUACCUGCUUGGAUCCUAUUUCGUUUCUUAGUAUCCUAUUUAGUCACUUUAAUUUUGUUUUAGCGUAGAUUGCGUAUUUACGUUUAUGUUUGGUUGUGUUUUCAUCUAGUUAUGAUGCUAGAAAAUAUGUUGUUUGGAAUAUUUUUACUGGUUUAUAGGGCUGGGCUGAAAAUGAGCCGAGUCGAGUCGAACUUGCCUCAGCUCGGCUCGAAUCAUUAAGAAUUGGUUCAGCUUAAAUCUCAGUUCGGGUUCGCCAUUAACUUUUUAAAACUCAAACUCGACUCGUUAUAAUUUCACGAGUAACUUAGUUCGACUCGUUAGGUUUAGCUCGCUCACUUCACAAACUUAAAAUCUUAUAUAUAUAUAUAUAUAUAUAUAUAUAUUUUAAAUUAAUAUUAUUUUAAAAAGAAAGUAUUGAAAUAAAAUAAAAGUUAUUAGAUUGAAAUUUAACUUUGUCUCAAAAAUAUACUAAUUCAGAAACUAAUUAAUUUAUGUGAUUCUAAUUUUAUUUUUAUAAUUAUUUUUAGAAAUAUUUUACUCACUUGAGAAUAUAAAUUAUCAAUUUAAACCGUUAGAUUAAAUUAAAAUAUAAAGUUAAAAUUAAUAAUAAAUCUUUAAACCUACUUUUAAAGACAAAAUAGUCCUUCUCAUAUAUAAUCGAGUUGACUCAUGAACCUAACGAGUCAAAUUAUGUAUAGUUCAAGUUGAACUCAUUUAGUUAACAAACUUGAUUUUUCGCUCAUAUUCAGCUCAUUAGAUUCAUGAACCAAGUUCAACAAAUUAAUUGUUGAACCGAGUUCCAAACUAUUUUCGAGUUGGUUCAAUUCAUUGCCAGCUAUACUGGUUUGAUGUCAGAUAGGUGAAUGUAUUUGUUAUAUGGGUAUUGAAAACUUUCUUCACAAUAAAAUCCAGUAGUUUUUGAAAAAUGUUUGCAACUGUAACUUAUUUCAAUUUAUCUAGUUAAAAUAAAGGGUUUAGUAUCUCUAAAUUAAAAUCUUUCUAUCGCUAUUUCAUCUCGCCAAUGUUUGAUUUCAUGGUAGCCACUGUCACCUAAAAAACAAAAUAAGGCUCUCGUCCCCUCCCCUAUACUAUGAAGCUGCUAUUAUCAUAUAAAAAAAGUUGCAUCUAUCUUUUCUUUUUAAUAUGCGUGUGUUUCUUUGAUUUGAGAUAUGGAGGUUUGAGGAUGAAUUUUUUCAAUUUGUUUUCUUUAUGACUUUAUCAUGAUUUUUUCCAAGGGGUUCAAAUGAUAUUUUGGGUAUGGUGUUUUUACUCGUUGAAUAGAUAUAUAAAAAAUGAGUUAAUAAAUUUUUGUUGUUGUGCUAGAACAUCUGAACUUUGACUAUACCAGAAUUUCAAUUGGUAUCAGAGCAGGCAUCCUGUUCUGUUUCUGGAUGAGAUCCAUGGG